AAGGAAUAUUGCUCAAUGGGAGAAAUCCUGAAGCAGCAACGCCGCGUGGAGGAUGAAGGGUCUAUGACUUGUAAACUCCUGUAAAGAAGGAAAAAAUUCCCAUUUGAUGGGAGAUGAUGGUACUUCUGGAGUAAGCCCCGGCUAACUACGUGCCAGCAGCCGCGGUAAUACGUAGGGGGCAAGCGUUGUCCGGAUUUACUGGGUGUAAAGGGUGCUCAGGCGGAUUUGUAAGUCAGAGGUGAAAUCUUACAGCUUAACUGUGAAACUGCCUUAGAUACUGCAAGCCUAGAGUAUGGAAGAGAGUGAUGGAAUAUCUGGUGUAGCAGUGAAAUGCGUAGAUAUCAGAUAGAACACCAAUGGCGAAGGCAGUCACUUGGUCCAUUACUGACGCUAAAGCACGAAAGCGUGGGUAGCAAACA
RNAcentral lists this ribosomal RNA (419 nucleotides) under uncultured bacterium. RNAcentral describes it as "bacterial SSU rRNA". It matches the Rfam family "Bacterial small subunit ribosomal RNA", at positions 356 to 774 of the family's 1533-position model. The record is from RNAcentral.